GAUCAUCUACCCCGGGACCGGGAUAGCACGGGAACUGUGGGUAUACCGGAUACGUCUCCGGACCAAUGUGCGAUUCCGCCCGGGGAUGAGUCACGCCCUACUAGCUUGUUGGUGGGGUAUGGCCUACCAAGCAACGAUGGGUACCGGGCGUGAGAGCGUGAUCCGGCUCACUGGGACUGAGACACUGCCCAGACACCUACGGGUGGCUGCAGUCGAGAAUCUUCGGCAAUGGACGAAAGUCUGACCGAGCGACGCCGUGUGUGUGAUGAAGGCCUUCGGGUUGUAAAACACUGUCAGUUGUGAGGAAAUCUCAGGGGGCUAUCCCUCUGAGUUGACCUAGCUUCAGAGGAAGGACGGGCUAAGUUCGUGCCAGCAGCCGCGGUAAGACGAACCGUCCAAACGUUAUUCGGAAUCACUGGGCUUAAAGGGUGCGUAGGCGGCAUAUCAAGUGGGGUGUGAAAUACCUCGGCUCAACCGAGGAACUGCGCUCCAAACUGAUAUGCUUGAGGAAGGCAGAGGUAAGCGGAACUUGCGGUGGAGCGGUGAAAUGCUUUGAUAUCCGCAAGGAACACCAGUGGCGAAGGCGGCUUACUGGGCCUUUUCUGACGCUCAGGCACGAAAGCUAGGGGAGCGAACGGGAUUAGAUACCCCGGUAGUCCUAGCUGUAAAC
Molecule: ribosomal RNA, 670 nt
Filed under: uncultured organism
Description: bacterial SSU rRNA
Rfam family: Bacterial small subunit ribosomal RNA
Source: RNAcentral